RNAcentral lists this non-coding RNA (88 nucleotides) under Xylella fastidiosa. RNAcentral describes it as "SAH sequence". It matches the Rfam family "SAH (S-adenosyl-L-homocysteine) riboswitch aptamer". The record is from RNAcentral. Lineage: Bacteria; Pseudomonadati; Pseudomonadota; Gammaproteobacteria; Lysobacterales; Lysobacteraceae.
CCCGUUGAGGGGUGCUGCGACCGGUUUCCCGCCUUGCCGCCUGCCAAGCUCGAUCGGAAUCUUGACCGUUCAACGGCGCCCAGAAACC